UUGGCGGACGGGUGAGUAACACGUGAGCAACCUGCCUUCGAGAGGGGAAUAACGGCUGGAAACGGUCGCUAAUACCGCAUAACAUACAGGAGGGACAUCCCUUUUGUAUCAAAGAUUUAUCGCUCGAAGAUGGGCUCGCGUCCGAUUAGGUAGUUGGUGAGGUAAUGGCCCACCAAGCCGACGAUCGGUAGCCGGACUGAGAGGUUGAACGGCCACAUUGGGACUGAGACACGGCCCAGACUCCUACGGAAGGCAGCAG
Molecule: ribosomal RNA, 259 nt
Filed under: uncultured bacterium
Lineage: Bacteria
Description: partial 16S ribosomal RNA
Rfam family: Bacterial small subunit ribosomal RNA
Source: RNAcentral